RNAcentral lists this ribosomal RNA (450 nucleotides) under uncultured bacterium. Its description in RNAcentral is "bacterial SSU rRNA". It matches the Rfam family "Bacterial small subunit ribosomal RNA", at positions 354 to 796 of the family's 1533-position model. The record is from RNAcentral.
GUGGGGAAUAUUGGACAAUGGGCGAAAGCCUGAUCCAGCCAUGCCGCGUGUGUGAAGAAGGUCUUCGGAUUGUAAAGCACUUUAAGUUGGGAGGAAGGGCAUUAACCUAAUACGUUAGUGUUUUGACGUUACCGACAGAAUAAGCACCGGCUAACUUCGUGCCAGCAGCCGCGGUAAUACGAAGGGUGCAAGCGUUAAUCGGAAUUACUGGGCGUAAAGCGCGCGUAGGUGGUUCGUUAAGUUGGAUGUGAAAGCCCCGGGCUCAACCUGGGAACUGCAUCGAAAACUGGCGAGCUAGAGUACGGUAGAGGGUGGUGGAAUUUCCUGUGUAGCGGUGAAAUGCGUAGAUAUAGGAAGGAACACCAGUGGCGAAGGCGACCACCUGGACUGAUACUGACACUGAGGUGCGAAAGCGUGGGGAGCAAACAGGAUUAGAAACCCUAGUAGUCC